CCUACGGGAGGCAGCAGUGGGGGAUAUUGCACAAUGGGGGGAACCCUGAUGCAGCGACGCCGCGUGGGUGAAGAAGCGCCUCGGCGCGUAAAGCCCUGUCAGCAGGGAAGAAAAUGACGGUACCUGAAGAAGAAGCCCCGGCUAACUACGUGCCAGCAUCCGCGGUACUACGUAGGGGGCAAGCGUUAUACGGAUUUACUGGGGGUAAAGGGGGCGCAGACGGGGAUGCAAGCCAGGAGUGAAAGCCCGGGGCCCAACCCCGGGACUGCACUUGGAACUGCGUGGCUGGAGUGCAGGUGGGGCAGGCGGAAUUCCUGGUGUAGCGGUGAAAUGCUUAGAUAUCAGGAGGAACACCGGUGGCGAAGGCGGCCUGCUGGACUGCAACUGACGUUGAGGCCCGAAAGCGUGGGGAGCAAACAGGAUUAGAUACCCUUGUAGUC
Molecule: ribosomal RNA, 440 nt
Filed under: uncultured bacterium
Lineage: Bacteria
Description: partial 16S ribosomal RNA
Rfam family: Bacterial small subunit ribosomal RNA
Source: RNAcentral